GGAGCCAUAAGUCCAUUAUAAAUCAGUUCAAAUAACAGACAGGAAGCAUCUUUAUUAAUCUGCCGAAAAAAGAACUCUUGCAAGAACUGAGCAAUAUAAGCUUCAUGUAAACCAUUGUAGAUAACACAAAUUCUGGAUAAGUUCGCUUGGCUAGUCCAGGCCAUGUAACGUCCCCCACUAAUUUUGCCGGAGCAUGUAGUCAAAAGAAAAAAAAACAAUUACUUGUGUCGAAAUUCUAUAGCAGUGACACAAAUUUUACAAAAAUCCAUAAAAACCAACAUACUCAGGAGAAAGCUGGCAUACAAGGAAGAAAUGUAAAAAUUAUAAUCUGAAACUUAUCAUUUCUAUGAUUUACAUGUUUUAUAAAGGAAAGGAAGUUACGGUGUUUGGAGAUGGAGAAGUGAGGAGAAACUGGUCUGGGAAUUAGGCUAGAAAAGAUGUAUGAUUUCAGUGGAAAAUGAAGUAUUUUAUUUAUUUUCUUUUGAAAAAAGGGAACAUGAGUGAAGAAGAUGUUUUAGAGGGAAUUGAUGUGCAUCUUGCGAGUCCAGAUGUUAAAUUGUGAUGCAUAUUUCUAUGGGUAGUUAUUGAAUUGGCAAUCAGAAGCUUCUUGUUGUCGUUGCAUAUUGGCCUUUUAUAUUUGCCCCAUGCCAAUCUAUAAAAUCAGCAUAUUAACUGCAGUUACUAUAAAGAUCAUAUAAUUGUGUGCCAUUGGAAUAGUCGUCAUACUCCAAUUGGUGUAAUGCGGAGGUAGACAGGUCUGCCACAUGCCAUUUCGCAUGUCCAUCACCGGGAAAGGUUGAUUAAUAUUAGAAAGGUUGAUUAAUAUAUACAUGCACAGUUUCAGAUAUAUGAUUAUUUCUGCCAGUAUUAGUUAAGCAUCAGCUUUUCCUUUUUUUGUGUGACCAUCUCUCUUGUGGUUUGCUUGAACUUUCUUGCUGAUUUCAGAUGCCCUUAAAGAGGCUUCCAUGUUAUAUCUCCAAUUUCUGGUGGGACAAGUUCUAUUUGUGCUAGAAUGCGUAGUUUAUUAUGCUAAUGCUAACUGUGUUUACAAAGCUGAGAAGCAUGAAUCUGUUGCUUUCUUAAGGUGUUCCCCAAAAAUUCAGCUUUUAUAGCUAAAUCAAGUGAAAUCAGAUCAUGUGGGAAGUCUGCAGUUACUGUUAACAAUGUCUGACCAUCUUUUUUAAUUAUUUAGUCUGUCGUCAAUUACUUCCACAGGACCUCAGGCAGCUGAAAGGAAUCACAGCAACAUAUAGGAUGACUAACAAACUUCCUGUGAGGCAUUCUCCGUACGUGUCUGGGAUUUUAAGGCCACUGAAGGUGUGUGGUCUUCACUUCUCUUGAUUCGUAUAAUGGUAUAUUUUGAUUUUGUAAUCAGAAACAUUUCAUCUUGAAAUGUAGAACUGCAGCCUUAUAAUUAAAAGCACAAAACCCGCUCUUCAUUCUUGUGCAUGUAUUUUGCAUAUCUUCUUUGCUGAUCUUAGAUAUGCUGAUAUUACUUUUGUUUAUGUUCUAUUUUUAUCUUCCUUAUAAGGUUGCUAUCUACUUUAUUCCUUGCAAAAAAGAAUUUAAACCAGAGAUACAUGUGGACUAUUGAUAUCCUCUCUCUCUCUCCCUCUCCCUCUCUCCACACUAUUCUCAUAAAAAGAGUACUUGUUUCUUUCCUUUUUUCAGAUCUUGAUUGUACCAUGUGAUAUUGACACUGUUGUGCACCAUAGUUCAGUGAACCACAAGUAGAUACCCCUGCAAGAUUUGAAAACUUGGUUUCUUUACAUGUUUCUUUACUCUGAGAAGGUGGACUCCUAGUGAUAAAAUGAUAAACAGAUUUGCUAGUUGCAGAGUACCUUGGGACCUUGUUCCUCUUAUUCCAGAAUUCUGAUAGAGCUCGUGUUUAAACUUUGUUGUAAUUUCAAUGUUGUAGACUUGCUUAAUAUAGAGAAUUCUUAUUUCUGUCUUAUAAGGUUAUCCCUAAUUAUUGCAUGAAACCAUUUUUGCAGCCUUGUGGUUGAGAUUAAUUUUUGAGGCAUUGCUUGAGCCACAUUGACUUUCAUGGAAAUUUAAGUGUUUAUCCCAUCUUUUUUUUGGUUGUAGUUAGGGAUGCAAAUAGGUGGAACUGCUUGAAUUAUGCAGAUUUUGGAAAAAGAGCUCUUGUUACUUUAUUGUAAUUAAUGGGUGGUGCUAACUCAUAAUUUUGAAAGCUAAUCUGAUAAGAGCAUGAGGUUGGAUUAGUAAGUGCUCUAAAUUCUUGUCAGCUCAACUCCUUUAGGCUUAAAAAGUUACUUUGUUGGGCUUAGGCCAAUUUUGACCCAAUGUGAAAACUUUUUGGUAUGUGUUCAUGUAUGGGCUAACUGGGUACAGUAGUGUUUAGUAAAUUCAAUAAACACAACAGUCCUCUUCCUAUGCUCUAAUGUUCAAAGGUCUUGCCCCUCUGCUUCCAGGCAGUUCUAGGGGAAAAUGGAAAACAUGGUCUCUUUAGCCCCCUCCCCACUCAUCCAACUAGAUCCUCAAAUCUUGUUGCUACAUACAUACCUAACAAGGCACUGAAAAACAGAACUAAAACCUAAUAAAGAUGUGAUUAAAGCUUACCUCAUCUCACAGACGACCAAAACUAGAAUUUACUCAAAUUAAGACAUAUAAAUGUUCCCGAACUCUUGAAUCCCCCCGAGGGGGUUGGGGGGGAAACGUUCCAUAACCUAAUUGUCCUUAUGGCUGGAACUAUGAUUCUGUAUAUUUCUCAAUAUUUGAGCUAAUCCUUGUUGCACAUUGCUAGCAAACUAGGGAGGUGUCUGAGCUAGAAAGCAUGUGGUUUGGUUUUCCUUAAGUGGCCAUACACAUUGAACUAAGUUUUAAAGCUUCGGCCGAAGCUGAUCUGCUGUGGCUGAAAUGAAUCAGUUCUGGCCUAUACCAAUAUGAAACUGACCAAAAUUUUUGGUUUCGAUCAGCUUCGGCCAAUUUUGGCCAUAAUUGACUAAACACUUUUUUUAAAGACUUUUGUUUCACUAGUAAAAAUUUAUAAUGCUUUUUAAAACUCAUUAAAAUAAUUCAACCACACAUUUACUAUGGAUCUAAUGAUCUAAUUCAUGCUAUUUUCAUCUAAACUUUGUAAGUGGGUAAGGUGCAUUGUUGAAAAAUGUUUUAAGUUACAAAUAAUGUUGCGAUAUAUAGAAGAAAUGAUGUAUGUUCAUCUCUAGGAGCUUUUAUUUGUCUUGGAGAGCGAGAUAUUUAAAUAAUUUUAUGUUCUUGUGCACUUGUCUUGUUAGUUUAUGCAUGAUUGAGUGACAGUUGUCAUUCUACUUCGUAGAAUGUACAUUCAUGUGUUAUGAUUAAUGCAUUAAGCUUCAACAGAACUCAAUUUCAGUCUGAGACUAACUAAAACUAUUUGAAUUAUGACUGUAAAUAACUUAGAAUACAAUACAACUGUGUGACAUAACUUGCCUUUGUCUUUUUUAUUUUUUGUUUUUUGAAUUUUGAUGCUUUCCAUCUGAAAUUCCAACUUCGAGUGAAACUACCAAAACCGCUGAAACUGAUACUCUAUCCAGGAGACUGAAACUGAAAGAGAAACUGAUUUUUAAAAAACUACAUAAAAGUAACAGAUAUCCAUCAAGUUAUGCUCCCAGGAAGACUCUAUACUGAAGAGAUCUCACGAUUGUAUAUUUGUUAUCUGUCCUCCCAACAGUAAACAAAACCACAAACUAUACUUGGAAAAAUAAACUCUCUCCUUUGGGUUUCAUUCUCAAAGUGCAACUUUAUAACAAAACAAAAUCAUGUCCUUGGGUGGUCGAGCCACAUCUACUAGAAGGGAAUAGUUUAAUCAGUUUUUUUCCUGUUUAAUGAAAUAUUAUUAACUUGUCCAUUCCAAGGGACAGGUACAAGCUCUACUGUAACAUCUGAAUGUGCUAUUGAUAACAAUGGUGCUACAUGAGAAUUAGGCCUUUUCUAAGGGCAUCAUCAAAAGUUACAUCACCUUAGUUUAUCAGUAUUACUGAGAGUGAUCUCUUUAGAUAAAGUUUUGAGGGUUCUUUGGACCUCUGUUUCAUGCAUGGACGUCUUUUGAGUUAUCCACCAUGAUUAUAUUGAUAGAAGAUUGCUAUCUAUAUGAUGCUGAAUCAAGUUUUCUAGCUUCAACUUUGGUUUUGUAAGUGGUAUCACAGAAAAACCAGUAAAAAAUUUUCAGUAACAUUUCUAGCACUGGAAUGGCAUGGAUUCCGAAGAUAUGACAGCGAUGCAGCUGUUAUUUCCAGUUGUUUCAGUCAUCAGUUACCAAUAAACCGAUUUUGUUUCUUUUUUCCCCCUAAAAACGCAUUAACUAAAUCUUGAACUAUUUUAGUAGGUCAAUGUUAUUUGGGUAGAACUAUUUGGGGCAUUUCAGAGGGAGAUGGAACAGAAUUUUACUAUGAUUUGUACUUUUGUACUAGUUGGAUACCCUGUAUUGAAGUAUAAUGGGAUUCAUCAUGUGUAUUGAAGUAAACGGGGGUUUCAUCAUGAGUUACUGGAGAUUUUGUCUAAGAAUUUGCAUAAAUAUUCAAUCCCCCAUUUUCCCAAAAAAUGGAAAAAGAAUCAUAUGUCUGAUUAACCAAGAAAAUGAUCUAAGUUGCACACAUGAUGGAUAUAAAAUAUGUUCUUAUAUUCCAAUGAUAACUUUUUGAUUGCAGUGCAUUGAAGAGUUUGCUUUUUCUCCCUUUAAGAUUUUAUACAGCAUCCUUACAUUCUCAUCCAACCAAAAUUUUUACCUAACCAUGAGUUAUUAUCAAUUGUAGGCAUUUCUUGAUGGAGAGCAUGUGGCAUGCUUAACUCAUGAUGCAAGAAAUGAACUACUCUAUGGCACCACAAAAAGAAUCACGAGUCGUUACUAUGAACUGGCAUCAGAUCUCGUCAGCGUGGUAAGUAGCAAAGCCAUUACAGUUUCAAAUUUCUUGAGUUAUAACCUGUUCACAUCAGUGAAUAUGCUUCGGUCGACCUUUUUCAUAGGCAAGGAAAACAGAAUCUUCACUGUUAAGAUUACGGCAAGGUGCACAACGACGAGUUGGAGCAAGCUCCGAUGCCUUGGACAACAAUAUAUCUGAUACAGAAAAGAUCUGCAUGCAGUUAUUUCUCGACAUUCAGGUACUUGAAUACAGUUCUAAUAAACUCUUCUGAUUUGAUUCCUUAAAUGCUUCCCUUAGGAUAUAAACAAAUGCAGAGAUCUGGUAAACACAUGCGAACUGUGAGAGUAUUACCCAAACUAAAAGGGUAUACCUUUUUCCUGCAUUGGAAUUUAAUAUUAUAAGUCAAGAUUGGUCUAAUGGCAAUCAUAAUAGUGAUACAUAGAUUUCUUUAUAUGGCUGAAUUUUCCCAUCUAUUCUAUUGAUGCAUAUUUUAUGCUGCUAUAGUGUGUUUUAAUUCCCAUGGCAGUGUUUUUUACUCAUGACUUUGUUGACAUCGAUUAAGCAAAACUUGUUAGUUGGUUAUGUUAUUUGAGUUAAUUAUGUUAUGUCGUAAUACCAUAGAAGCUAUAGUGGCCUAACUAUAAAAUAGAAACCUUCAAGUUUUGUAAGUGCAAAACAAGGUCUCCUAACUUGGUCUGCAUAGAUUGUUUUCUUGUCCAUUCUAAAAUCAAUCUUUUUGAAAGAACUGGGUCUAAUAGGAAUAACUCCACUUCUCCUUCUUGGUUUCAUUGAUACAUUUUUUCAGAUUCAUGUGUUCAUAAAGUUUUGAUAUUUUGAUUAUUUCUUUUAAAGUUAAGCAUUUAAGAAUAUUUGGGGAGUAAGGAAUAUUUAAUUGACGGGAAAAAGUUAAGAUUUCAAAGUUAUAGAAUUUAAAAUAUUUGUUACGGGAGCUUAACUUAUGAUUUCUUCUUUUGUAUGGAAGAUAUAAUAUUGCUAAUUACUUAAAUUAACACUAUUGGUUUAUCAUAGACUGUUGAGGUAAUUAUGGCUUAGGGACUACAUUUAAAAAGGUGAUUCGUUGUUUGGCUAUGAAUUAUGCUGUAUGUCUCAAACCUUACCAAAAUAUUUAAGUAGAUAUUGCAAUUUCAGUUGCUAUGAUUUUGUUAAUUCUGCUAUUUACAACUACUGCAUUCAUAUCUUACAAGCUACAGAAAAAGGAUUACGUACAUGUAUUUAAGCUAUUCAGGGUGAAAAUAAAUGGUUAUAUUUUUGGUGCAAACUUUUAUAAGAUUGAUUCUUACAUAAAUAAGUGGAUCUUUAGAAGUUCAUCAUCAAGUUGCAAUUUUGAAAAUUGAAGCUUGAUGUCAUUAGAUUUACCUCGACAUUUUUUGAGAAGCUGGUGAUGCACUAGUAAAUCAUGACAAGUUGGUUAUUCUCAUUAUAGAAACAGAACCUAUAAGUCUUUUAACUCUUUCUUUUCAUUUGUAGGAAUACGGGCGCAACCUUGCUGCAAUUGGUAUUAAAGCAGCUGAUAUUCCAGCCUACAGGUCCUUGUGGCAGUGUGUUGCUCCAGAAGAUAAGCAAACACAGUUUGUUUUCUGAAGUAACCACAUCGAGCUAUAUUUGGUAUUCGUGUAUUAUUUUCCUGUUUUCUGUCAUUUUAAGAGGAUCAACAUUUUAUUUAGCUCACUUUAACUUCUAUCCAUAUGUUGGGUUGUUCAUGCAGGUGCAUGUCAUAGAGAUUCUGAGUAAAGCAACAGAAGGCCUGGAUGAUUCACCUACCAUCAGGUGCUCCACAACUGUAAGGUUUCCAUCUUCCACAGCAAAAUUAUUGGGGCUAUGUGAUCCCAGCAAUUUGGAUUCUGUGAACUCAUUGAGUUUUCUAUUGUUUGAUAUAUGUCCAUUCUGUUGAUUUCCCCUCUCCCUAUUCCAGACCCUGAGAGAUGGGUGGUUUGGAUUCAAAAGGAUCUGAAAAGUGAGAAUAUAAACAGAGGAUUUCUUGUUCAACUGAAGAUGUUCUGGGUAUUUGCAACAUGUUUGUAUACAUUAGAUGCUUGGCAAACUGGUGAUCCCUGGCUUCUGGACAGGUAGGGGUGAUAUAGAGGUAAUACCAUUGGGAUGUUAAUUUCUGGAUAGGCUAUUUGUGAUGUCCUCAUAAAUUGCCUAAAUCCUCGAGGAGAUGAACUCAAAACUUGUUGCAGUUGCUCGUCAUUUUUCAAAUAGAUUAAGUCAGAUGAGCACAAUUGUCAUCUCUCUUACAAAUUUUAAGAUUAACUAAAGCUUUCCCAGAAUUUAUACCUCGUCUCCACCUUCCUGUGAGCAAGAAUGAGGAACGCGAUUCCUUCUCAUUAUUCUAUUUGUUUGAAGUAGGGGCGCACGUAGGCUUACGUCAACCCGAGUACCGAACCAAAUCAUCUUUAUUGAGUUGGUUACAAGUUUUGCUUCCGACUGGUUCAGGAUAUAUACAUACGCACAUACAUAAAUACGUAUAUACGUGUGCAUAUAUAUAUAUAUAUAUAUAUCAAAAGUCUUUAAGUUCGGAUAUUAUAAAUUUUGGGCAACGCAAAAAUUGAUCGGAACUCGAUGUCCACGAAGUGCAUAAAAGGACCCGCUGCGGGGUGAACUCUGCUUCAUCGGAGCUUCAUUCUUCCUCUUUUCUUUUUUUCUUUUUUGUUUGUUUGUAGAACGGCUGCUCACCUACUUUGGUAGCAGCCAGCAGAAUCUAGAGCUACAAGCUGUAAUGGUCCCCCUGAUAUGGCCAACGUACCCCUUUGGAGUGCUUUAUUCUAAUUUCUCGAUAGCAGAACAGAGCACUGCAGAUUUGCUUGGUAACUUAUAGUGGCAAUUGCCAAUGAGAGCACAUUCUGAUGGUUGGGUUGCUGGUUGAGCUUAAAUUAUGGCACCAAAUGGUCGGUCAAUAGGCUGGCAUAAGGUCACCAAAUUGCCAGUGAAAUACCGAUGGGCAAAUCAAAACCCACUUGUUUACGUUUUAGCGGGCAGAACUUAACCACGGCCAACGAGAAGCCAUAACAACCAAGCUGUCUCGGGUCGGCUUUACGAACCCAAGGGGACAAUGAGAUGAACCUUGCAUACAAAAAAGAUAGCAAUCUAAAUUCAAAUUUUCAAAGGAAAUACCACGGAUUAAACAGUACUAUUAUAUGCCAAAGCUUUCUGGUGACAAGAUUUACUAGUGUGGUUGUUAACAACAAUAACUGGAUUAUUUAAUUCUCCAAAUCCUCCUGCGAAACAUCAUAGUAUAAUAUUCAAGCAAUAGCAAUCUAAAAAUUGCUUGUAACUGCCCAUCCUACAAUUCAAAUACUCAAUUGUGUUCUUUUCCAGUGUUCAAUCAUGAGAAUCGAUCACGAUAUAAUGGAAAAGAGAUUAACUGAUGUUGCUAACCCACACCCACUUAUCAAACGUCAGUUCCAAAGUAGCGGUCGCCAAACUCACCCAAUCCUGGGAUAA
RNAcentral lists this long non-coding RNA (8327 nucleotides) under Phoenix dactylifera (date palm). Its description in RNAcentral is "long non-coding RNA (PDAC_LNC002538)". The record is from RNAcentral. Lineage: Eukaryota; Viridiplantae; Streptophyta; Magnoliopsida; Arecales; Arecaceae.